Molecule: long non-coding RNA, 506 nt
Organism: Momordica charantia (bitter melon)
Lineage: Eukaryota; Viridiplantae; Streptophyta; Magnoliopsida; Cucurbitales; Cucurbitaceae
Source: RefSeq, a predicted model, not a curated record
CUGGGCGUUUUCGGUGGCUGUUGACGAAGUUCCGGUUGAUUAGCGGUGACCCACGACUCUUAGCACUUAGUAUUGGUGGCCCGUGCUCCUUGGGUAGUGGCCAGCAACGUUGGAGGUGGUUUUCGGAUGACUUUUCCUGCUGUAAAAACGCAAACAGCUUAGAUUUCUGCGUUCGACAACUACCCACGCCUAUCCGAAACAGAUCUAAGUCAUUUACACCUAAACAAAGUCGAUCUCGUGGUGUUGACAACACGCAAGGACUAGGAGCGUGGUAGUGAGUAAGUAGUAAUAGGGGCGGGUGUGUGCGUUUAUGAACUGUUGGAAAUGUCUUUUGGUUAUUGGAUUAUCUAAAAUGCAUAUUUCAUGUCGUUAUGAAUGUUAUGAAAUUGGCCAUUCGUGCUAGAAUUACAUUGUGGGAGUAGGUUGAAUGAAAUUGUUUAGUUUUCUUUUGUCAGAAUAGUUACCUGUUGAAAGGGUCUAUUUAAAGGCGGUGCGAGUUAUAUCUA